RNAcentral lists this ribosomal RNA (231 nucleotides) under uncultured bacterium. RNAcentral's name for it is "partial 16S ribosomal RNA". It matches the Rfam family "Bacterial small subunit ribosomal RNA", at positions 118 to 350 of the family's 1533-position model. The record is from RNAcentral.
CGAGUAACCUGCCCUGGACUUUGGGAUAACCCUCGGAAACGGGGGCUAAUACCGGAUAUGACGGCUCACCGCAUGGUGUGGUUGUGGAAAGUUUUUCGGUCUGGGAUGGGCUCGCGGCCUAUCAGCUUGUUGGUGGGGUGAUGGCCUACCAAGGCGACGACGGGUAGCCGGCCUGAGAGGGCGACCGGUCACACUGGGACUGAGACACGGCCCAGACUCCUACGGGAGGCA